UUUUGAUUGAAAAAGCUUAAAUUUUUAUAAAAGACGAGAAGACCCUAUAGAGUUUAAUAUUAUUAUUCAAUUUAAAGUUAGAAUUAUUUUUUGAUUAAUUUUAUUUGGUUGGGGUGAUUUAAAGAUUAAUUUAAUUCUUUAACUUAUUAAUUGGUGAUGUCUAAAUUUUAAAUCUAUAUUUUAUAAAUAUAAAAUAAAUUACCUUAGGGAUAACAGCGUAAUUUUUCUUUAAAGUUCACAUUAAAAGAAAAGUUUGCGACCUCGAUGUUGGAUUAAAAUUAAUUUUUGGUGCAAUAACUUAAAAAUUGGGUCUGUUCGACCUUUAAAAUUUUACAUGAUCUGAGUUUAAACCGGUGUGAGCCAGGUUGGAUUCUAUCUUUAGAAUAUUAAUAUAUUUUAGUACGAAAGGACCAGAUAUAUAUUAAAUUAAUU
RNAcentral lists this ribosomal RNA (432 nucleotides) under Trichalus sp. BM0078. RNAcentral's name for it is "partial 16S ribosomal RNA". The stretch from base 209 to 367 matches the Rfam family "Bacterial large subunit ribosomal RNA", at positions 2473 to 2632 of the family's 2925-position model. Lineage: Eukaryota; Metazoa; Arthropoda; Insecta; Coleoptera; Lycidae. The record is from RNAcentral.